This 231-nucleotide non-coding RNA is filed under the name Syntrophomonas zehnderi. Its description in RNAcentral is "T-box sequence". It matches the Rfam family "T-box leader". Rfam says of the family: Uncharged tRNA acts as the effector for transcription antitermination of genes in the T-box leader family. T-boxes are found upstream of many aminoacyl-tRNA synthetase genes and some amino acid biosynthetic genes usually in Gram-positive bacteria. The anticodon of a specific tRNA base pairs to a specifier sequence within the T-box motif, and the NCCA acceptor tail of the tRNA base pairs to a conserved bulge in the T-box antiterminator hairpin. Lineage: Bacteria; Bacillati; Bacillota; Clostridia; Eubacteriales; Syntrophomonadaceae. The record is from RNAcentral.
AUCAAAAUGAUGAUGGAAAAGAGUAGGCAGACGAGGGGUUACAGAGAGUCGGGAAAGGUGGAAGCCCGAUACUAUCCAAACUGCUGAAAUGGGUUCCGGAGUUCCAUAACGAAGUUUGAUACUUCCAAAUGGCGGCUUUCUCCGUUAAAAGAAAAGGACAGGCCUUAACUGUCUUUAAAAGUGGACCUUUUGUCAAUUAGGGUGGCACCGCGGAUAACCUCCGUCCCUUGU